GAUGAACGCUGGCGGCGUGCCUAAUACAUGCAAGUCGAGCGAACAGAUGAGGAGCUUUCUCCUCUGACGUUAGCGGCGGACGGGUGAGUAACACGUGGAUAACCUACCUAUAAGACUGGGAUACUUCGGGAAACCGUAGCUAAUCCCGGAUAAUAUAUUUAACCGCAUGGUUCCAUAGUGAAAUACGGUUUUUCUGUCACUUAUAGCUUGAUCCUCGCGGCAUUAGCUAGUUGGUUAGGUAACGGCUUACCAAGGCAACGAUGCGUAGCCGAACUUAGAGGGUGAUCGGCCAAACUGGAACUGAGACACGGUACAGACUACUAAGGGAGGGAGCAGUAGGGAAUGUUGGGCAAUGGGGGAAAGCAUGACGGAGCAAAGCCGCGUGAGGGAAGAAGGACUUCGGAUCGUAAAACUCUGUUAUUAGGGAAGAAAAAAUGUGUAAGAAAAUAUGGACGUAUUGACGGUACCGAAACAGAAAGCCACGGCUAACUACGUG
RNAcentral lists this ribosomal RNA (496 nucleotides) under uncultured bacterium. RNAcentral describes it as "partial 16S ribosomal RNA". It matches the Rfam family "Bacterial small subunit ribosomal RNA", at positions 28 to 507 of the family's 1533-position model. The record is from RNAcentral.